Molecule: transfer RNA, 77 nt
Filed under: Pseudoflavonifractor phocaeensis
Lineage: Bacteria; Bacillati; Bacillota; Clostridia; Eubacteriales; Oscillospiraceae
Description: tRNA-Pro
Rfam family: tRNA
About the family: Transfer RNA (tRNA) molecules are approximately 80 nucleotides in length. Their secondary structure includes four short double-helical elements and three loops (D, anti-codon, and T loops). Further hydrogen bonds mediate the characteristic L-shaped molecular structure. tRNAs have two regions of fundamental functional importance: the anti-codon, which is responsible for specific mRNA codon recognition, and the 3' end, to which the tRNAs corresponding amino acid is attached (by aminoacyl-tRNA synthetases). tRNAs cope with the degeneracy of the genetic code in two manners: having more than one tRNA (with a specific anti-codon) for a particular amino acid; and 'wobble' base-pairing, i.e. permitting non-standard base-pairing at the 3rd anti-codon position.
Source: RNAcentral
CCGGGUGUAGCGCAAUUGGUUAGCGCGCAUGGUUUGGGACCAUGAGGCUGUGGGUUCGAGCCCUACCACUCGGGCCA